Molecule: transfer RNA, 75 nt
Filed under: Candidatus Giovannonibacteria bacterium RIFCSPLOWO2_01_FULL_46_13
Lineage: Bacteria; Candidatus Giovannoniibacteriota
Description: tRNA-Val
Rfam family: tRNA
About the family: Transfer RNA (tRNA) molecules are approximately 80 nucleotides in length. Their secondary structure includes four short double-helical elements and three loops (D, anti-codon, and T loops).
Source: RNAcentral
GCGCCUUUAGCUCAGUGGUAGAGCGUUCCGUUCACAUCGGAAAGGCCGUAGGUUCGAUCCCUACAAGGCGCACCA